This 73-nucleotide transfer RNA is filed under the name Nephila pilipes (giant wood spider). It matches the Rfam family "tRNA". Rfam says of the family: Transfer RNA (tRNA) molecules are approximately 80 nucleotides in length. The record is from Rfam by way of RNAcentral. Lineage: Eukaryota; Metazoa; Arthropoda; Arachnida; Araneae; Nephilidae.
GGGCCAGUGGCGCGAUGGAUGCUGCGCCUGACUACGGAUCGGGAGAUUCCAGGUUUGAAUCCUGGCUGGCUCG